RNAcentral lists this ribosomal RNA (184 nucleotides) under Salmonella enterica. Its description in RNAcentral is "partial 23S ribosomal RNA". It matches the Rfam family "Bacterial large subunit ribosomal RNA", at positions 1 to 176 of the family's 2925-position model. Lineage: Bacteria; Pseudomonadati; Pseudomonadota; Gammaproteobacteria; Enterobacterales; Enterobacteriaceae. The record is from RNAcentral. RNAcentral also lists the same sequence under 1 other name.
GGGUUGUGAGGUUAAGCGACUAAGCGUACACGGUGGAUGCCCUGGCAGUCAGAGGCGAUGAAGGACGUGCUAAUCUGCGAUAAGCGCCGGUAAGGUGAUAUGAACCGUUAUAACCGGCGAUUUCCGAAUGGGGAAACCCAGUGUGACUCGUCACACUAUCAUUAACUGAAUCCAUAGGUUAAUG